GGGGAGAUACUCAAGCGGCCAACGAGGGCAGACUGUAAAUCUGCUGUCUUUCGACUUCGCAGGUUCGAAUCCUGCUCUCCCCACAA
RNAcentral lists this transfer RNA (86 nucleotides) under Salegentibacter agarivorans. RNAcentral describes it as "tRNA_Tyr_GTA". It matches the Rfam family "tRNA". Rfam says of the family: Transfer RNA (tRNA) molecules are approximately 80 nucleotides in length. Their secondary structure includes four short double-helical elements and three loops (D, anti-codon, and T loops). Further hydrogen bonds mediate the characteristic L-shaped molecular structure. tRNAs have two regions of fundamental functional importance: the anti-codon, which is responsible for specific mRNA codon recognition, and the 3' end, to which the tRNAs corresponding amino acid is attached (by aminoacyl-tRNA synthetases). tRNAs cope with the degeneracy of the genetic code in two manners: having more than one tRNA (with a specific anti-codon) for a particular amino acid; and 'wobble' base-pairing, i.e. permitting non-standard base-pairing at the 3rd anti-codon position. Lineage: Bacteria; Pseudomonadati; Bacteroidota; Flavobacteriia; Flavobacteriales; Flavobacteriaceae. The record is from RNAcentral. RNAcentral also lists the same sequence under 3 other names.